RNAcentral lists this ribosomal RNA (468 nucleotides) under uncultured bacterium. RNAcentral describes it as "partial 16S ribosomal RNA". It matches the Rfam family "Bacterial small subunit ribosomal RNA", at positions 28 to 507 of the family's 1533-position model. The record is from RNAcentral.
GACGAACGCUGGCGGCGUGCUUAACACAUGCAAGUCGAACGGAAAGGCCCUGCUUUUGUGGGGUGCUCGAGUGGCGAACGGGUGAGUAACACGUGAGUAACCUGCCCUUGACUUUGGGAUAACUUCAGGAAACUGGGGCUAAUACCGGAUAGGAGCUCCUGCUGCAUGGUGGGGGUUGGAAAGUUUCGGCGGUUGGGGAUGGACUCGCGGCUUAUCAGCCUGUUGGUGGGGUAGUGGCUUACCAAGGCUUUGACGGGUAGCCGGCCUGAGAGGGUGACCGGCCACAUUGGGACUGAGAUACGGCCCAGACUCCUACGGGAGGCAGCAGUGGGGAAUAUUGCACAAUGGGCGGAAGCCUGAUGCAGCGACGCCGCGUGCGGGAUGACGGCCUUCGGGUUGUAAACCGCUUUCGCCUGUGACGAAGCGUGAGUGACGGUAAUGGGUAAAGAAGCACCGGCUAACUACGUG